GUGCCUUUGGCAGGGGACUGCCCACUAGCAGCUUCUUCACCCUACAUGGAGAGGGAGGGCUUUUGACCCCACUUCCAGAUGUGGAAACUGAGGCUCAGAGAGAUGAAGCCACUUGUCCAAAGUCACACCAGACAUUGCUUCAAAGAACAGGCUCUGAAAGAGAGCCCAAGACACCCUCCCCGGAGAGCCAUUUCCGACUGCGCCGCUGCAGAGCCCCAGGGCUGCGGGCUGGGCCGGGCCUGCUCUGAUUGCCUGUUUUUCCCAUUAAUCCUGCGACACCCUCAUUUAGAUGCGAUCUGCAUACAUUUGCAUAUUGAGUUCCAGUGUCCCCUCCCUUUCCCUCACCCCUGUGGC
Lemur catta (Ring-tailed lemur) is the source of this 354-nucleotide long non-coding RNA. RefSeq lists it as uncharacterized. The transcript has 3 exons. The record is from RefSeq and is a predicted model, not a curated record. NCBI's taxonomy places the organism in Eukaryota, Metazoa, Chordata, Mammalia, Primates, Lemuridae.